GCCGUAAUUAGUUUUUUUUUGGGUCAGGACGUACGCUGGGGGCGGGGCUUAAUACAUUCAAGUGGUACAGAUUUUUUUUCCCCGGAAAGAUGUCCCCGGAAAAAUAAAAAACACAAACGAGUGAAUAUAUCUUGGGGGAAAAUACCCCCAAGAAGGGGAUAACCCCUGGAAACACCUGCUACUGUCCGCACGCAUUCGAUACCCCAAGGGUUUAGAAUGCGAGACAAUUUCGGAGUGUCCCUGAUGGAUGGUCUCACGGUUCAUUAGGUACAGGGUGAGGUACCGGUUCCCCAAGGUAACGAUACAUAUCCGGCCUAACAGGGUGAAUCGUCCACAUUGGGACUGAGACGCGGCUCGAACUCCUUGGGGAGGCAACAGUAGGCAAUCUUCGUCAAUGGACGGCAUGGGCCGAGCACCCCCGCGUGAAAAAAGAAGGUUUUCGGAUCGUAAAAAUCUGUUGUUAGAGAAGAACAAGUAUGAGAGUAACUGUUCAUCCCAUAACGGUAUCUAACCAGAAAAACACGGCUAACUACGUGCCAGCAGCCGCGGUAAUACGUAGGUGGCAAGCGUUGUUCGGAUUUAUUGGGGGUAAAACGAGCGCAGGCGGUUUUUUAAGUAUCAUGUGAAAACCCCCGGCUCAACCGGGGAGGGUCAUUGGAAACUGGGAGACUUGAGUGCAGAAGAGGAGAGUGGAAUUCCAUGUGUAGCGGGGAAAUACGUAGAUAUAUGGAGGGACACCAGUGGCGAAGGCGGCUCUCUGGUCUGUAUCUGUCGCUGAGGCUCGAAAGCGUGGGGAGCAAACAGGAUUAGAUACCCUGGUAGUCCACGCCGUAAACGAUAAGAGUUAAGUGUUGGAGGGUUUCCGCCCUUCGGUGCCGCAGCUAACGCAUUAAAGCACUG
This 900-nucleotide ribosomal RNA is filed under the name Enterococcus durans. RNAcentral describes it as "partial 16S ribosomal RNA". It matches the Rfam family "Bacterial small subunit ribosomal RNA", at positions 1 to 869 of the family's 1533-position model. Lineage: Bacteria; Bacillati; Bacillota; Bacilli; Lactobacillales; Enterococcaceae. The record is from RNAcentral.